GAUGAACGCUGGCGGCGUGCCUAAUACAUGCAAGUCGAGCGAACAGAUGAGGAGCUUGCUCCUCUGACGUUAGCGGCGGACGGGUGAGUAACACGUGGAUAACCUACCUAUAAGACUGGGAUAACUUCGGGAAACCGGAGCUAAUACCGGAUAAUAUAUUGAACCGCAUGGUUCAAUAGUGAAAGACGGUUUUGCUGUCACUUAUAGAUGGAUCCGCGCCGCAUUAGCUAGUUGGUAAGGUAACGGCUUACCAAGGCAACGAUGCGUAGCCGACCUGAGAGGGUGAUCGGCCACACUGGAACUGAGACACGGUCCAGACUCCUACGGGAGGCAGCAGUAGCGAAUCUUCCGCAAUGGGCGAAAGCCUGACGGGGCAACGCCGCGUGAGUGAUGAAGGUCUUCGGAUCGUAAAACUCUGUUAUUAGGGAAGAACAAAUGUGUAAGUAACUAUGCACGUCUUGACGGUACCUAAUCAGAAAGCCACGGCUAACUACGUG
Molecule: ribosomal RNA, 497 nt
Filed under: uncultured bacterium
Lineage: Bacteria
Description: partial 16S ribosomal RNA
Rfam family: Bacterial small subunit ribosomal RNA
Source: RNAcentral